Molecule: ribosomal RNA, 543 nt
Filed under: uncultured bacterium
Lineage: Bacteria
Description: bacterial SSU rRNA
Rfam family: Bacterial small subunit ribosomal RNA
Source: RNAcentral
AAUAGAUACCCCGGUAGUCCACGCCGUAAACGGUGGGCACUAGGUGUGGGCGACAUUCCACGUCGUCCGUGCCGCAGCUAACGCAUUAAGUGCCCCGCCUGGGGAGUACGGCCGCAAGGCUAAAACUCAAAGGAAUUGACGGGGGCCCGCACAAGCGGCGGAGCAUGUGGCUUAAUUCGACGCAACGCGAAGAACCUUACCAAGGCUUGACAUACACCGGAAACGUCCAGAGAUGGGCGCCCCCGUUGUGGUCGGUGUACAGGUGGUGCAUGGCUGUCGCCAGCUCGUGUCGUGAGAUGUUGGGUUAAGUCCCGCAACGAGCGCAACCCUUGUCCCGUGUUGCCAGCAGGCCCUUGUGGUGCUGGGGACUCACGGGAGACCGCCGGGGUCAACUCGGAGGAAGGUGGGGACGACGUCAAGUCAUCAUGCCCCUUAUGUCUUGGGCUGCACACGUGCUACAAUGGCCGGUACAAUGAGCUGCGAUACCGCGAGGUGGAGCGAAUCUCAAAAAGCCGGUCUCAGUUCGGAUUGGGGUCUGCAACC